RNAcentral lists this ribosomal RNA (306 nucleotides) under uncultured bacterium. RNAcentral describes it as "bacterial SSU rRNA". It matches the Rfam family "Bacterial small subunit ribosomal RNA", at positions 332 to 655 of the family's 1533-position model. The record is from RNAcentral.
CAGACUCCUACGGGAGGCAGCAGUGGGGAAUAUUGGACAAUGGGCGCAAGCCUGAUCCAGCCAUGCCGCGUGAGUGAUGAAGGCCUUAGGGUUGUAAAGCUCUUUCACCGGGGAAGAUAAUGACGGUACCCGCAGAAUAAGCCCCGGCUAACUUCGUGCCAGCAGCCGCGGUAAUACGAAGGGGGCUAGCGUUGUUCGGAAUUACUGGGCGUAAAGCGCACGUAGGCGGCUUUGUAAGUCGGGGGUGAAAUCCCGGGGCUCAACCCCGGAACUGCCUUUGAUACUGCAUCUCUUGAGUCCGGGAGA